This 200-nucleotide ribosomal RNA is filed under the name uncultured bacterium. RNAcentral describes it as "partial 16S ribosomal RNA". It matches the Rfam family "Bacterial small subunit ribosomal RNA", at positions 30 to 230 of the family's 1533-position model. The record is from RNAcentral.
AUUGAACGCUGGCGGCAGGCCUAACACAUGCAAGUCGAGCGGAUGAGUGGAGCUUGCUCCAUGAUUCAGCGGUGGACGGGUGAGUAAUGCCUAGGAAUCUGCCUAUUAGUGGGGGACAACGUUUCGAAAGGAACGCUAAUACCGCAUACGUCCUACGGGAGAAAGCAGGGGACCUUCGGGCCUUGCGCUAAUAGAUGAGC